This 253-nucleotide ribosomal RNA is filed under the name uncultured bacterium. RNAcentral's name for it is "partial 16S ribosomal RNA". It matches the Rfam family "Bacterial small subunit ribosomal RNA", at positions 524 to 776 of the family's 1533-position model. The record is from RNAcentral.
UACAUGGGGUGCAAACGUUGCUCGGAAUUAUUGGGCGUAAAGCGCACGUAGGCGGUUUGUUAAGUCGAACGUGAAAUCCCCGGGCUCAACCCGGGAACUGCGUCCGAUACUGGCAGGCUUGAAUCCGGGAGAGGGAUGCGGAAUUCCAGGUGUAGCGGUGAAAUGCGUAGAUAUCUGGAGGAACACCGGUGGCGAAGGCGGCAUCCUGGACCGGCAUUGACGCUGAGGCGCGAAAGCCAGGGGAGCAAACGGG